AGGAAUAAGUAGGAAUCGUUUUAAAAUUUAAACUUAAAAAUUACUAGUUAAUAAGCAGAAAAUUCGUCCAAAACGAUGGAAACUGAACAUGUGGGAUGUUGUCGCAUGGGAAUCUUCAUUUUUGCAGCAUUUGCGAUAGUGAUUGGGUGUGGAAUCUUUGUCCUUGGCAUAAUUGACGUGAAUGGAAUUCAUUAUCCAACUCUCAUAAUGGGAAUUUAUGUCAUAGUGACACACGUAAUACUAUUUCUAGCUGAGUACGUUGGUAUUACACACGAGAAAAAGGAAGUCUGAUGGACAGCCAUGACAAGGAAAGAAAAAGCGGAAAUCAACAUAAACAAUGUGGAAAAAAAUCAAAUUAAUAUUGCAAAUAGUUAUAUCGUGGCUUAUUCUAGCUUGUAACGAUAUAAAUUACUUUUUUAUACUCCAUUCGUCGUCAUAUUGUAUCAUUAGCUUUUUAAGCCUUUUUAAUAUAUAUCAUAUAUAUUUCAAAAACGUGAAGUACAAAAACAAACAUUAUGAAGCCUUUGUGCCCGCAAUUGUGUCGCGCAACUAUAAAUAUUUUAUUAAGCUACAUAUAUGAAGAUGUUAUAAAUUUUUUAAAUAAAUCUUUAAGUAGAGCUUUUUAAACUUUGAAACUUUUUUAAAUAAUUACUGAUUAUAUGUGAAUUCGAAAUUUAUAAAUAUAUUUAUU
This is a long non-coding RNA of Culicoides brevitarsis, 691 nucleotides long. RefSeq lists it as uncharacterized. NCBI's taxonomy places the organism in Eukaryota, Metazoa, Arthropoda, Insecta, Diptera, Ceratopogonidae. The record is from RefSeq and is a predicted model, not a curated record. The transcript has 3 exons.